RNAcentral lists this long non-coding RNA (1188 nucleotides) under Homo sapiens (human). RNAcentral's name for it is "HSALNT0311868". The record is from RNAcentral. Lineage: Eukaryota; Metazoa; Chordata; Mammalia; Primates; Hominidae.
AAAAAAAAAAAAAAAAAAAAAAAGACUUUUCUCUCAUUCAACACUUUACCAGCAUCUACUGACAGAAAAUGGACAAUUGAAUUUCCUCCAAUAUAUAUACCUCUGAUAUGUCUGCUUUGUAAAAGAGUAGUGUAAUUGCUUACAACAUUGAAAAGGUUGUUAUUGGGGUCCUGGGGUAGCCAGGAUAUCGGCAUGAUUUGUCACCAUAUUCAGAAUAAAACUGUACUGCAAUAGUGAGUUAAUUCCAUAUCUUGGCCAACAGAGAAUUUUUGGCCAGUGGCUACUAAGGCACACGGAAGUCCAGUCUAAAAGGGACAGGGGAGGACUCUUUGUAGAUAGUUCUUAUGAUUAAAAAAUAACUUCCUAUGUGUUGUAGUGAUGAUUAAGCUGACAGAAUGCUAAAGACACCCUUAAUGAUUACUUGUAGCAAAGUACUUCCCCACAUUUAGCUGGAUUUGUCUUUGGUUUGAAGAGGCUAAUACGUGAAAGAUUUGUUCACAGUUGGAUGUCCCCUUUUCUGAACCAUGAAGUAAUAUUGUGAAUGGAGUUGAAUGCUGAGGUUAGGGUGCCGGAAAGAUUCAGGGUCCUUCGGUACCCUCACAUGGCUUGGCUUUGGUAGAACAAGAAACUAAGCUCUGAUUUGGCUUUAAAUGAGAGUGCUAAAUUUCCUUUUUCUAAUAAAGAACCUAGCUAAACAUUUAUAUAUACUUUUGAACACUGAACUUUCUUGUUGCAGAGUUAACAGCUGUUGGGGGUAGCUGACAGCUGGAUCCUGGUGCUGUUGGUACCAUGGUACCUGAAGUGCACAGGCUGGUAGCCACACCUGACAUUAACAAGUGAGUGGUAACCUCUCUGCCGCUGGCUUACAGCUACUGUUUCCAUAGAAAUGGCUGUCGGGAUCAGUGGAAACGAGAUGGAUGCACCCAAGCCCUAGCCCUAAGUAUUCUCCACCCAUAUGAGACAGCAUUGAUGGUGCCACAGAGCAAAGGAGAGCCACUGUUCCUGCCCUGGUGUGUGAGAUGAGAGGCAUGGAAUGAGGUGUUGGUUUUAAGCCCUUACUGAUACCAUUUAUUAAAGAGAUUUUCUCUGGAAAAAACAAAACAGCUUUGAUAUUCAGAGCUGUAUUUUUGAGACUCAAAUGAACAUAAAGAUCCACGGUCUUAUGAGAACUUAGAUCGGCUGCUAGAA